RNAcentral lists this ribosomal RNA (253 nucleotides) under uncultured bacterium. RNAcentral describes it as "partial 16S ribosomal RNA". It matches the Rfam family "Bacterial small subunit ribosomal RNA", at positions 524 to 776 of the family's 1533-position model. The record is from RNAcentral.
CACGUAGGCACCAAGCGUUGUCCGGAUUUAUUGGGCGUAAAGAGCGUGUAGGCGGCCAGGUAGGUCUGCUGUGAAAACUCGAGGCUUAACCUCGAGCUGUCGGCGGAAACCAUCUGGCUAGAGUCCGGAAGAGGAGAAUGGAAUUCCCGGUGUAGCGGUGAAAUGCGCAGAUAUCGGGAAGAACACCCGUGGCGAAGGCGGUUCUCUGGGACGGUACUGACGCUGAGACGCGAAAGCGUGGGGAGCGAACAGG